GGACUACCGGGGUAUCUAAUCCCGUUUGCUCCCCUGGCUUUCGCGCCUCAGCGUCAGUGAAGGUCCAGCGGGCCGCUUUCGCCACCGGCGUUCCUUCCGAUCUCUACGCAUUUCACCGCUCCACCGGAAGUUCCGCCCGCCCCUACCUUCCUCCAGCCCCUCCGUUUCCGAGGACCGCUUCCGGUUGAGCCGGAAGAUUUCACCCCAGACAAAAGGAGCCGCCUACGCGCCCUUUAAGCCCAGUGAUUCCGAACAACGUUUGCACGGUUCGUCUUACCGCGGCGGCUGGCAC
This 292-nucleotide ribosomal RNA is filed under the name uncultured bacterium. Its description in RNAcentral is "partial 16S ribosomal RNA". RNAcentral also lists the same sequence under 2 other names. The record is from RNAcentral.